This 254-nucleotide ribosomal RNA is filed under the name uncultured bacterium. RNAcentral describes it as "partial 16S ribosomal RNA". It matches the Rfam family "Bacterial small subunit ribosomal RNA", at positions 524 to 776 of the family's 1533-position model. The record is from RNAcentral.
UACAGAGGCCACGAGCGUUAGGCGGAAUCACUGGGCUUAAAGCGUGUGUAGGUGGAUGACUAAGUACCUUGUGAAAUCCCACGGCUCAACCGUGGAACUGCUUGGUAUACUGGUUGUCUUGAGGCACUCAGGGGCGAGCGGAACAGAUGGUGGAGCGGUGAAAUGCGUAGAUAUCAUCUGGAACGCCAAUGGUGAAGACAGCUCGCUGGGGGGUGUACUGACACUGAGACACGAAAGCCAGGGGAGCAAACGGG